GAUGAACGCUGGCGGCGUGCUUAACACAUGCAAGUCGAACGAUGAAGCCCAGCUUGCUGGGUGGAUUAGUGGCGAACGGGUGAGUAACACGUGAGUAACCUGCCCUUAACUCUGUGAUAAGCCUGGGAAACUGGGUCUAAUACCGGAUAGGAGCGCCUACCGCAUGGUGGGUGUUGGAAAGAUUUAUCGGUUUUGGAUGGACUCGCGGCCUAUCAGCUUGUUGGUGAGGUAAUGGCUCACCAAGGCGACGACGGGUAGCCGGCCUGAGAGGGUGACCGGCCACACUGGGACUGAGACACGGCCCAGACUCCUACGGGAGGCAGCAGUGGGGAAUAUUGCACAAUGGGCGAAAGCCUGAUGCAGCGACGCCGCGUGAGGGAUGACGGCCUUCGGGUUGUAAACCUCUUUCAGUAGGGAAGAAGCGAAAGUGACGGUACCUGCAGAAGAAGCACCGGCUAACUACGUG
Molecule: ribosomal RNA, 466 nt
Filed under: uncultured bacterium
Lineage: Bacteria
Description: partial 16S ribosomal RNA
Rfam family: Bacterial small subunit ribosomal RNA
Source: RNAcentral